Molecule: ribosomal RNA, 506 nt
Filed under: uncultured bacterium
Lineage: Bacteria
Description: partial 16S ribosomal RNA
Rfam family: Bacterial small subunit ribosomal RNA
Source: RNAcentral
AGUGAACGCUGGCGGUAGGCCUAACACAUGCAAGUCGAACGGCAGCACAGGAGAGCUUGCUCUCUGGGUGGCGAGUGGCGGACGGGUGAGGAAUACAUCGGAAUCUACUCUGUCGUGGGGGAUAACGUAGGGAAACUUACGCUAAUACCGCACACGACCUACGGGAGAAAGCAGGGGACCUUCCGGCCUUGCGCGAUUGACUGAGCCGAUGUCGGAUUAGCUCGUUGGCGGGGUAAAGGCCCACCAAGGCGACGAUCCGUAGCUGGUCUGGGAGGAUGAUCAGCCACACUGGAACUGAGACACGGUCCAGAGACCUACGGGAGGCAGCAGUGGGGAAUAUUGGACAAUGGGCGCAAGCCUGAUCCAGCCAUACCGCGUGGGUGAAGAAGGCCUUCGGGUUGUAAAGCCCUUUUGUUGGGAAAGAAAUCCAGCUGGCUAAUACCCGGUUGGGAUGACGGUACCCAAAGAAUAAGCACCGGCUAACUUCGUGCCAGCCGCCGCAGUAA